This 466-nucleotide ribosomal RNA is filed under the name uncultured sediment bacterium. Its description in RNAcentral is "bacterial SSU rRNA". It matches the Rfam family "Bacterial small subunit ribosomal RNA", at positions 8 to 456 of the family's 1533-position model. The record is from RNAcentral.
AGAGUUUGAUCCNGGCUCAGAACGAACGCUGGCGGCGUACCUAAUGCAUGCAAGUCGAGCGCGAAAGUCCUCUUCGGAGGGCGAGUAGAGCGGCGCACGGGUGAGUAACACGUGGGUAACCUGCCCUGGAGUCUGGAACAACCCGGGGAAACCCGAGCUAAUUCCGGAUACGGCGGGGGGAUCUUCNGUUCCCCUCGAGAAAGGUGGCCUCUUCUUGAAAGCUACCGCUCCUGGAUGGACCCGCGGNCCAUUAGCUUGUUGGUGAGGUAACGGCUCACCAAGGCUUUGAUGGGUAGCUGAUCUGAGAGGAUGAUCAGNCNCACUGGAACUGAGACACGGUCCAGACUCCUACCGGAGGCAGCANCAGGGAAUUUUGUCCAAUGGGCGCAAGCCUGAGACAGUAACNCCGCGUGUGGGAUGAAGGNCCUCGGGUCGNAAACCACUGUCGGAAGGGAAGAACAACCCG